CCUACGGGUGACAGCAGUAGGGAAUUUUCGGCAAUGGGGGGAACCCUGACCGAGCGACGCCGCGUGAACGAAGAAGUUAUUCGUAAUGUAAAGUUCUUUUAACAGGGAAGAAAGAGAAAUUUGACGGUACCUGAAGAAUAAGCUCCGGCUAACUACGUGCCAGCAGCCGCGGUAAUACGUAGGGAGCGAGCGUUAUCCGUGAUUAUUGGGCGUAAGGGGUGCGUAGAUGGCAUAGUAAGUCUUUGGUAAAAAUGCUGGGCUCAACCCAGUAGGGCAAAAGAUACUGCAAAGCUAGAGUAUGAGAGAGGAAAGUGGAAUUACAAGUGUAGCGGUAAAAUGCGUAAAUAUAUGUAAGAACACCAGUGGCGAAGGCGGCGUGCUGGGUCGAUACUGACAUUGAGGCACGAAAGCGUGGGGAGCAAACAGGAUUAGAUACCCUUGUAGUC
This 446-nucleotide ribosomal RNA is filed under the name uncultured bacterium. Its description in RNAcentral is "partial 16S ribosomal RNA". It matches the Rfam family "Bacterial small subunit ribosomal RNA", at positions 338 to 795 of the family's 1533-position model. The record is from RNAcentral.